Molecule: ribosomal RNA, 899 nt
Filed under: uncultured Gammaproteobacteria bacterium
Lineage: Bacteria; Pseudomonadati; Pseudomonadota; Gammaproteobacteria
Description: bacterial SSU rRNA
Rfam family: Bacterial small subunit ribosomal RNA
Source: RNAcentral
AUUGAACGCUGGCGGCAUGCCUAACACAUGCAAGUCGAACGGUAACGCGGAGAGCUUGCUCUCUGGCGACGAGUGGCGGACGGGUGAGUAAUACUUAGGAAUCUGCCCAGUAGUGGGGGACAACUCGGGGAAACUCGAGCUAAUACCGCAUACGCCCUACGGGGGAAAGCGGGGGACUCUUCGGAACCUCGCGCUAUUGGAUGAGCCUAAGUCGGAUUAGCUUGUUGGUGAGGUAAAGGCUCACCAAGGCGACGAUCCGUAGCUGGUCUGAGAGGACGAUCAGCCACACUGGGACUGAGACACGGCCCAGACUCCUACGGGAGGCAGCAGUGGGGAAUAUUGGACAAUGGGCGCAAGCCUGAUCCAGCAAUGCCGCGUGUGUGAAGAAGGCCUGCGGGUUGUAAAGCACUUUCAGUAGAGAAGAAAUGCCUAAGGUUAAUAACCUUAAGUCUUGACGUAACCUACAGAAGAAGCACCGGCUAACUCCGUGCCAGCAGCCGCGGUAAUACGGAGGGUGCGAGCGUUAAUCGGAAUUACUGGGCGUAAAGCGCGCGUAGGCGGCUUUGUAAGUCGGAUGUGAAAGCCCUGGGCUCAACCUGGGAAUUGCAUUCGAUACUGCGGAGCUAGAGUAUGGUAGAGGGAAGUGGAAUUUCCGGUGUAGCGGUGAAAUGCGUAGAUAUCGGAAGGAACACCAGUGGCGAAGGCGACUUCCUGGGCCAAUACUGACGCUAAGGUGCGAAAGCGUGGGGAGCAAACAGGAUUAGAUACCCUGGUAGUCCACGCCGUAAACGAUGAGAACUAGAUGUCGGGAGGAAUUGCCUUUCGGUGUCGCAGCUAACGCGUUAAGUUCUCCGCCUGGGGAGUACGCCGGCAACGGUAAAACUCAAAGGAAUUGACGG